Molecule: transfer-messenger RNA, 347 nt
Filed under: Thermodesulfobacteriota bacterium
Lineage: Bacteria; Pseudomonadati; Thermodesulfobacteriota
Rfam family: transfer-messenger RNA
About the family: Bacterial tmRNA, also known as 10Sa RNA or SsrA, is named for its dual tRNA and mRNA-like properties. Its role is to liberate the mRNA from a stalled ribosome.
Source: RNAcentral
GGGGGCGAUUUGGUUUCGACGUAAAUUUAGCAUUUAGAUGCUGCAUGCCGAGAGCUAACUCGUAAAACUGGCACUCGCACAAUAAGUGCAGAACCAAUCAAUCAACUUGCUGCCUAGAAUAGCGUAGCAACAUUGAAGAUAACUUUGCUCAUAGGGUUUUCUUCAAUGUCAUUAAUAUGGGCCUGAUAAAAUUUUCUUCUCUGCUUUUUUAUCAGUAUAUUAGAGAAUCGAGAUAUCUUUUGUUUUUUAGCUACAAGAGAUAUUUUUAAAAUCGAGCUAAAAUAAGCAUGUAGAGGCUCUAUUUAGCUUAUUUCCGGACCUGGGUUCGAUUCCCAGCGCCUCCAAUA